RNAcentral lists this non-coding RNA (29 nucleotides) under Mus musculus (house mouse). Lineage: Eukaryota; Metazoa; Chordata; Mammalia; Rodentia; Muridae. The record is from RNAcentral.
UUUGUAAUAUCCCAGAUUGGUGGGGAAGG